Molecule: ribosomal RNA, 497 nt
Filed under: uncultured bacterium
Lineage: Bacteria
Description: partial 16S ribosomal RNA
Rfam family: Bacterial small subunit ribosomal RNA
Source: RNAcentral
GAUGAACGCUGGCGGCGUGCCUAAUACAUGCAAGUCGAGCGAACAGACGAGGAGCUUGCUCCUCUGACGUUAGCGGCGGACGGGUGAGUAACACGUGGAUAACCUACCUAUAAGACUGGGAUAACUUCGGGAAACCGGAGCUAAUACCGGAUAAUAUAUUGAACCGCAUGGUUCAAUAGUGAAAGACGGUUUUGCUGUCACUUAUAGAUGGAUCCGCGCCGCAUUAGCUAGUUGGUAAGGUAACGGCUUACCAAGGCAACGAUGCGUAGCCGACCUGAGAGGGUGAUCGGCCACACGGGAACUGAGACGCGGUCCAGACUCCUAAGGGAGGCAGCAGUAGGGAAUCUUCCGCAAUGGGCGAAAGCCUGACGGAGCAACGCCGCGUGAGUGAUGAAGGUCUUCGGAUCGUAAAACUCUGUUAUUAGGGAAGAACAAAUGUGUAAGUAACUAUGCACGUCUUGACGGUACCUAAUCAGAAAGCCACGGCUAACUACGUG